Molecule: non-coding RNA, 333 nt
Organism: Pelobates cultripes (western spadefoot toad)
Lineage: Eukaryota; Metazoa; Chordata; Amphibia; Anura; Pelobatidae
Source: the annotation of a GenBank genome assembly
GGAAAUGACCCUGCGACUCUAAGGGUUGAACAGAUUCUACUGAUGAUGCAUUAGCCCACUGAGCUAUCACACCGACAGACAGAAUACCAGAUGAUUGCUUCUUCCCUAAAUAGUUGAAGGAGGAAAUUGGCUCCAAUCAAGCGCUGUGCAUAGCCUUCCUUCUUUGAUGUCCCUUUUAGCCACUAUAAAUCUCCAACUUUAUCACCACCAAAGCACCUUCAGACCAUUACAUUGCCUCAACCAGAUGGCAUGAAGCACUCCUCCAGCAUCAUUUCAUUUGGACUGUGUCUUACUAGAAGUUCUUCUUUGUGAUCUGUCCAGAACACUUUUUCC